UCAGAAAUCCGCGCUGGUCAAACUCAUCAAAAUACCCCGGUUAUUUCUUUGCUUCCUGUUCAAAUACCCCACAUCAAUGUAUCCUGUUUAUUAGUAGAAGGGAGAGUAUAUAAUUAGCACGUUUGUUUACAUUUUCGCCGUAAAACGCCAAAUUUUUAAACGCGUGUCAGUUCUUUUGCUGUUUCCGCUAUCUUUGAAAACCUCGACACCUCGUGGAGAAGAUUUGGUAUGGAUUUGGUGACCAGGCCUUUUUGUCAAAAAAGUGAUCAAAUGUCCCUUAAUGUACUCUGUGAUCACAGCGUGUUAUCAAAUGUCCCCAAAUUUUCCUGCAAAUUCAAGUCCCGAAUUCAAGACUCAUGCCAGGUCUUGAAUUG
Non-coding RNA from Paramuricea clavata, 374 nucleotides. NCBI's taxonomy places the organism in Eukaryota, Metazoa, Cnidaria, Anthozoa, Malacalcyonacea, Plexauridae. The record is from the annotation of a GenBank genome assembly.